Molecule: ribosomal RNA, 86 nt
Filed under: Klebsiella aerogenes
Lineage: Bacteria; Pseudomonadati; Pseudomonadota; Gammaproteobacteria; Enterobacterales; Enterobacteriaceae
Also listed under: 43 other names
Description: partial 16S ribosomal RNA
Rfam family: Bacterial small subunit ribosomal RNA
Source: RNAcentral
GGGCGCUUACCACUUUGUGAUUCAUGACUGGGGUGAAGUCGUAACAAGGUAACCGUAGGGGAACCUGCGGUUGGAUCACCUCCUUA